GAGUUCCAGUCAAAGUCUCACAAAUUUUCUUAGACCCACUUCUAUUGUUCAUUAUGAAAGUUUUAUUUUAUUUUAUUUUAUUUAUUUAUUUUUGAGACAGAGUCUUGCUCUGUUGUCCAGGCUGGAGUGCAGUGGCCCAAUCUCAGCUCACUGCAGGCUCUAACUUCUGGUUUCAAGCAAUUCUCCCGCCUCAGCCUCUGGAGUAGGUGGGAUUAUAGGCAUGUGACACUACACCUGCUUAAUUUUUGUAUUUUUAGUAGAGACAGGGUUUCAGCAUGUUGGUUAGGCUGGUCUCGAACUCCUGACCUCAAGUGAUUUACUCACCUUGGCCUCCCAAAGUGCUGGAAUUAUAGGCCUGAGCCACCGUGCCUGGCCUCUUCUGAAAGUCUGAAAGGCACAGCUAUCCUCAAGAUUCAUCCACACUGUCACCCUGGGAACAGUGCUUUAUUAUUGUGUCCUCUGAAAGAGCUGGACUAACACAUAUGCAGGAUAGGUUAUGAUCUGGUAUGAGGACAGAUUCUCACCCAAAGAAUUUCUUUUUAAGUGCCUGACAUUUCACUAUCCCAGAGGAAUCUUUGUUGGCAGGCAGGGUUUUUGCUGAGGUUGGUUAUAGUUAUGUGCAUGACUGAACACACUCCAUUUUCGUAAGGUCCUUGCAUACUUCCUCAUACCUUUCACCAUGGCACAUGAACUCAGAAACUAGGGAUGGGUGAUUUACUACCUAAAAAUAGGCAAUCAGUGUUUAAUAUGGAGGGACUGAAGGGAAGAAGGAAUAUAAAGAGAGGGAAGAAGGAAUUUGAAAAUAAAUGAUACAUCAAGGAGAUCCUACUUUGGGACUAAACAGUCAUUCUGAUUUAUAAAUUGGAUGACUGAGGCAAGAGGACUGAACCUGUAUGGUCUUGGUUUCAGUUGCUCCUCUCUGAGGCUCAGGUACACAAAGCUGAUCUCCAGGAAGAAGACAAAUUAUUUACAUAAGAAAGCCAGAACUGCAGGGGCAUGGUGGCUCACACCUGUAAUCUCAGCCUUUGGGAGGCCAAGGUGGGUGGAUCACCUGAGUUCUGGAGUUUGAGACCAGCCUGACCAACAUGAAGAAACCCCCAUUUCUAGUAAAAAUACAAAAUUAGUCGGGCAUGGUGGUGCAUUCCUUUAAUUCCAGCUCCUCAGGAGCCUGAGGCAGGAGAAUCGCUUGAAUCUGGGAGGAGGAGGUUGCCGUGAGCUGAGAUCACAUCAUUGCACUGCAGCCUGCGCAACAAGAGUGAAACUCCUUCUCAAACAGAAGAAGAAGAAGAAGAAGAAGAAGAAGAAGAAGAAGAAGAAGAAGAGAGGAGGAGGAGGAAGAGGAGGAGGAGGAAGAGGAGGAGGAGGAGGAGGAGGAGGAGGAGGAGGAGGAGGAGGAGAAGGAGGAGGAGGAGGAGGAGGAAGAAGAAGAAGAAGAAAGCAAGAAAGCCAAGACAUCCUGGGAGGGAGGAGGAGUCCCCCCUUGGUAAACUUCUCCUAAGUAGGGAGCUCUUUUUGGUUGACAGGGUACCUCCUAUUCUCCCAAGGUCUAAUGGCUAAGGUCUGGAGAAAAAACCAAAAAACAAUAACUACCUUUCCUGAGGAAGGGGAGUGUGGAUUGGCGACUCAGGCUAUGACAAACUUCCAAGCUUUCUCUUGAAACCGCAUGGCUUUGGACAGCUUUGGCAUCAUCUGUGGAGCCUGUGGAGAACCAUUUCUUCAUAGGGACACCUCUGUGUGGUUUAACAAGGAGCAAUGGCAGCAAAGCGCGAGGAGGACUGGUCUUCUUUGGGCAGAGUAAUGUAUUUAUUUAUUUAUUUUUGAGGCACAGUCUCACUCGGUCACCCAAGCUGGAAUGCAAUGGUGCGAUCUCAGCUUACUGCAACCUCUGCCUCCCAGGUUCAAGGUAUUCUCAUGCCUCAGCCUCCUCAGUAGCUGGAACUACAGGUGUGUGCCACCACUUCAAGCUAAUUUCUAUUUUUAGUAGACAGGGUUUCCCCAUGUUGGCCAGGCUGGUCUCAAACUCCUGACCUCAGGUAAUCCACUUGCCUUGGCCUUCCAAAGUGCUGUGAUUAUAGGCGUAGGCCACUGCACUGGGCCUGGGCAGAGUAAUUUUUGGAGGUAGAGGUGGGAGAAGAGCUGAGAGAGAGAGGGCUUGGGUUUCAUGGCUGGGUGAUCCCAAACAAUUGUGAUAGCUAGUAGUCUGAGUUUAUGGAGGGCUUCUUACUGAUUCUAUAGAAAAUUUAUUUUUUCACUUUACAGAUAAAUUUGAGUUCCUUUUACAUACAGGGUCUCGGUCUCCUGACCUCAGGUGAUCCACUGGCCUUGGCCUCCCAAAGUGCAAGAAAUACAGGCGUGAGCCACUGUGCCUGGCCUUUUUUAAAAUUUAUUUUUUAGAGGCAAGAUCUUACUCUAUCACCCAGGCUGGAGUGCGGUGGCAAAAUCACAGCUCACUGCAGCCUGGAACUCUUUAGCUCAAGCGAUCCUCCCACCUCAGCUUCCCAAAGUGCUGGGAUUACAGGUGUGAACUAUCACACCCUCCCCGUAACGUGCAUUUUUGAGAGAAUUUAGCCCUAUGAGAAAUUUUCCUUAAAAAAGAAAAACAAACCCUCAAACUUUAUAAAAUAGCUAAAUCAGGGGCUUAGGGAAAUUAUCUAGAUGUUUGUGUUCAGAAUAGAUUUGAAGCCUGAGCUUGGUGGCUCACACCUGUAAUCCCAGCACUUUGGGAGGCUGAGGUGGGCGGGUCACUUGAGGCCAGGAGUUCCAGACCACCCUGGCCAGCACCGUGAAACCCCAUCUUUACACUAAUACAAAGAAUUAGCCAGUUGUGGUGGUGCAUGCCAGUAGUCCCAGCUAGGUGGGAGGCUGAGGUGGAUGGACCCCUUCAGCCUGUGAAGUUGAGGCUUCAGUGAGUGGAGAUGACACCACUGUACUCCAGCCUGUAAGACAAAGUUAGACUGUCAAAAAAAAAAAAAAAAAUUGAGGAGGAAGUGAUUAGAGGUAAUUAGGUUAGGAGACAAUAGUGGAGGAGGGCUGGAAUUAAUCAUUUACUUAUUUUGCAACAUUGACUAAGGUCUUACUACAAGUCAGGCACUGUAUUAGGCAUUCA
RNAcentral lists this long non-coding RNA (3106 nucleotides) under Callithrix jacchus (white-tufted-ear marmoset). RNAcentral describes it as "lncRNA (ENSCJAG00000071241.1)". Lineage: Eukaryota; Metazoa; Chordata; Mammalia; Primates; Cebidae. The record is from RNAcentral.